GUAGGUGGCAAGCGUCGUCCGGAAUUAUUGGGCGUAAAGCGCGCGCAGGCGGUUCUUUAAGUCUGAUGCGAAAGCCCACGGCUCAACCGUGGAGGGUCAUUGGAAACUGGAGAACUUGAGUACAGAAGAGGAAAGCGGAAUUCCACGUGUAGCGGUGAAAUGCGUAGAGAUGUGGAGGAACACCAGUGGCGAAGGCGGCUUUCUGGUCUGUAACUGACGCUGAGGCGCGAAAGCGUGGGGAGCAAACAGGAUUAGAUACCCUGGUAGUCCACGCCGUAAACGAUGAGUGCUAAGUGUUAGGGGGGUUUCCGCCCCCCUUAGUGCUGCAGCUAACGCAUUAAGCACUCCGCCCUGGGAGUACGGCCGCAAGGCUG
Molecule: ribosomal RNA, 374 nt
Filed under: uncultured organism
Description: partial 16S ribosomal RNA
Rfam family: Bacterial small subunit ribosomal RNA
Source: RNAcentral